RNAcentral lists this ribosomal RNA (169 nucleotides) under Trimma milta (red earth dwarf goby). RNAcentral describes it as "partial small subunit ribosomal RNA". Lineage: Eukaryota; Metazoa; Chordata; Actinopteri; Gobiiformes; Gobiidae. The record is from RNAcentral.
CACCGCGGUUAGACGAUACGCCCAAGUUGACAGCCUUCGGCAUAAAGCGUGGUUAAUUAACACUUAAACUAAAGUCGAACCCCUUCACCAACUGUCGAAAGUUUAAGAAGCAGGGAAGCCCAACAACGAAAGUGACUUUAACACUAAUGAAUCCACGAAAGCUAUGAAA